RNAcentral lists this ribosomal RNA (750 nucleotides) under uncultured fungus. Its description in RNAcentral is "eukaryotic LSU rRNA". The stretch from base 185 to 339 matches the Rfam family "5.8S ribosomal RNA". Lineage: Eukaryota; Fungi. The record is from RNAcentral.
GGUUGUUGCUGGUCCUCAAACGGGGACAUGUGCACGCUCUGUUUACACAUCCACUCACACCUGUGCACCCUCCGUAGUUCUGUGGUCUGGGGGACCCUGUCUUCCUGCCGUGGUUCUACGUCUUUACACACACACUGUAAUAAAGUCUUAUGGAAUGUAUGCCGCGUCUAACGCAAUACAAUACAACUUUCAGCAACGGAUCUCUUGGCUCUCGCAUCGAUGAAGAACGCAGCGAAAUGCGAUAAGUAAUGUGAAUUGCAGAAUUCAGUGAAUCAUCGAAUCUUUGAACGCACCUUGCGCCCCUUGGCUAUUCCGAGGGGCAUGCCUGUUUGAGUAUCAUGAACACCUCAACUCUCAUGGUUUGCCGUGAUGAGCUUGGACUCUGGGGGUUUUGCUGGCCUGCGGUCGGCUCCCCUCAAAUGAAUCAGCCUCCCAGUGUUUGGUGGCAUCACGGGUGUGAUAAAUAUCUACGCUCGCAGUUGUCCGCCAGGUAACCUUUGGUAACAAAGGUUYGCUGGAGCUCACAGAUGUCUCUCCUCAGCGAGGACAGCUUUUUGAACGUUCGAUCUCAAAUCAGGUAGGACUACCCGCUGAACUUAAGCAUAUCAAUAAGCGGAGGAAAAGAAACUAACAAGGAUUCCCCUAGUAACUGCGAGUGAAGCGGGAAGAGCUCAAAUUUAAAAUCUGGCGUGCCUCUGGUCGUCCGAGUUGUAGUCUAGAGAAGCGUUUUCCGUGCUGGACCGUGUACAA